RNAcentral lists this ribosomal RNA (423 nucleotides) under uncultured bacterium. RNAcentral describes it as "partial 16S ribosomal RNA". It matches the Rfam family "Bacterial small subunit ribosomal RNA", at positions 359 to 774 of the family's 1533-position model. The record is from RNAcentral.
GAAUAUUGGACAAUGGGCGCCAGCCUGAUCCAGCCAUACCGCGUGGGUGAAGAAGGCCUUCCGGUUGUAAAGCCCUUUUGUUGGGACAGAAAAGCCGUCGAUUACUUCUCGGUUGUUCUGACGGUACCCAACGAAUACGCAACGGCCAACUUCGUUCCAGCAGCCGCGGUAAUACGAAGGGUGCAAGCGUUACUCGGAAUUACUGGGCGUAAAGCGUGCGUAGGUGGGUGUUUAAGUCUGUUGUGAAAGCCCUGGGCUCAACCUGGGAAUUGCAGUGGAUACUGGGCGACUAGAGUGUGGUAGAGGGUAGUGGAAUUCCCGGUGUAGCAGUGAAAUGCGUAGAGAUCGGGAGGAACAUCCAUGGCGAAGGCAGCUACCUGGACCAACACUGACACUGAGGCACGAAAGCGUGGGGAGCAAACA